Molecule: ribosomal RNA, 253 nt
Filed under: uncultured bacterium
Lineage: Bacteria
Description: partial 16S ribosomal RNA
Rfam family: Bacterial small subunit ribosomal RNA
Source: RNAcentral
UACGUAGGUGGCAAGCGUUAUCCGGAAUUAUUGGGCGUAAAGAGCGCGCAGGUGGCUAAUUAAGUCUGAUGUGAAAGCCCACGGCUUAACCGUGGAGGGUCAUUGGAAACUGGUUGACUUGAGUGCAGAAGAGGGAAGUGGAAUUCCAUGUGUAGCGGUGAAAUGCGUAGAGAUAUGGAGGAACACCAGUGGCGAAGGCGGCUUCCUGGUCUGUAACUGACACUGAGGCGCGAAAGCGUGGGGAGCAAACAGG